ACCAACCUUAUAACUUAAGGUUCUCUCUUUAAUAUCUACCAUUGUUUCUUCACUAGUGGUGAGUUCUAAGCUUCUAACUACUAAUUUUUAUUAGCUAUUUCAAAUUAUAUACAACAAUCCUAUGUCCAAAAUUUAGACUUUGAUAUUAUAUUUUUAAACUCAUGUAGAGUUAUCUAAAAUCAAGAGGGUCUUAUUAACAAAGUGAAUUAAUAUAUAUAUAAGAUAAAAAUCUCAAUCCACAACUAAAGUGAAACAUAUCAAUAGUUUUUAUCUAUAAAUAAAGUAAGAGAUAAAGAUAGAUGAGAGUGUUCAAAGAGGCAAUGAUGUCAAUAUAAGUUGAUAAUGCCAACAACACGAAUAUAUAAUAAAUAAGUUGACAAUCCGGAAUGCCACAAUCAUACCAAUUUCCAAACACUCUCAAGUAUACCAGAGUUUGUACUUACAUUAAAACUAGUUGAACAUGUGCCAUUGUGAUAGAUUUUUGACAUAGAUUUUUAAAAAGUUUAGUUUGUUGAUAUC
This 519-nucleotide long non-coding RNA is filed under the name Physcomitrium patens. Its description in RNAcentral is "long non-coding RNA (PPAT_LNC002207)". Lineage: Eukaryota; Viridiplantae; Streptophyta; Bryopsida; Funariales; Funariaceae. The record is from RNAcentral.